CAGUCGCCGCGGUAAUACAGAGGGUGCAAGCGUUAAUCGGAAUUACUGGGCGUAAAGCGCGCGUAGGUGGUUAGUUAAGUUGGAUGUGAAAUCCCCGGGCUCAACCUGGGAACUGCAUUCAAAACUGACUGACUAGAGUAUGGUAGAGGGUGGUGGAAUUUCCUGUGUAGCGGUGAAAUGCGUAGAUAUAGGAAGGAACACCAGUGGCGAAGGCGACCACCUGGACUGAUACUGACACUGAGGUGCGAAAGCGUGGGGAGCAAACAGGAUUAGAUACCCCGGUAGUCCCUGUCUCUUAUAC
RNAcentral lists this ribosomal RNA (301 nucleotides) under uncultured bacterium. Its description in RNAcentral is "partial 16S ribosomal RNA". It matches the Rfam family "Bacterial small subunit ribosomal RNA", at positions 509 to 807 of the family's 1533-position model. The record is from RNAcentral.